CGUAGGGUGCGAGCGUUGUCCGGAAUUAUUGGGCGUAAAGAGCUCGUAGGCGGCUUGUCGCGUCGACUGUGAAAACCCGCAGCUCAACUGCGGGCCUGCAGUCGAUACGGGCAGGCUAGAGUUCGGUAGGGGAGACAGGAAUUCCUGGUGUAGCGGUGAAAUGCGCAGAUAUCAGGAGGAACACCGAUGGCGAAGGCAGGUCUCUGGGCCGAUACUGACGCUGAGGAGCGAAAGCGUGGGGAGCGAACAGGAUUAGAUACCCUGGUAGUCCACGCUGUAAACGUUGGGCGCUAGGUGUGGGGGGCCUCUCCGGUUCCCUGUGCCGCAGCUAACGCAUUAAGCGCCCCGCCUGGGGAGUACGGCCGCAAGGCUA
This 373-nucleotide ribosomal RNA is filed under the name uncultured organism. RNAcentral's name for it is "bacterial SSU rRNA". It matches the Rfam family "Bacterial small subunit ribosomal RNA", at positions 526 to 896 of the family's 1533-position model. The record is from RNAcentral.